Molecule: ribosomal RNA, 445 nt
Filed under: uncultured bacterium
Lineage: Bacteria
Description: partial 16S ribosomal RNA
Rfam family: Bacterial small subunit ribosomal RNA
Source: RNAcentral
GUAGGGAAUAUUGGGCAAUGGAUGCAAGUCUGACCCAGCCAUCCCGCGUGCCGGAAGAAGGCCCUCAGGGUUGUAAACGGCUUUUGACGGUGAAGAAUCGACAGGAUGCGUCCUGUUUUGACGGUAGCCGUUGAAUAAGCACCGGCUAACUCCGUGCCAGCAGCCGCGGUAAUACGGAGGGUGCGAGCGUUGUCCGGAUUUAUUGGGUUUAAAGGGUGCUUAGGCUGGAAGGUCAGUCAGCGGUGAAAAGCUGUCGCUUAACGAUAGUCUUGCCGCAGAUACUUCCUUUCUUGGAUGAGGAGGAGGCCACUGGAACGGAUGGUGUAGCGGUGAAAUGCAUAGAUAUCAUCCAGAACACCGAUUGCGAAGGCAGGUGGCUGUACCUUAAUCGACGCUGAUGCACGAAAGCAUGGGGAGCAAACAGGAUUAGAAACCCUUGUAGUCC